This 468-nucleotide ribosomal RNA is filed under the name uncultured bacterium. Its description in RNAcentral is "partial 16S ribosomal RNA". It matches the Rfam family "Bacterial small subunit ribosomal RNA", at positions 28 to 507 of the family's 1533-position model. The record is from RNAcentral.
GACGAACGCUGGCGGCGUGCUUAACACAUGCAAGUCGAACGGAAAGACCCUGCUUUUGUGGGGUGCUCGAGUGGCGAACGGGUGAGUAACACGUGAGUAACCUGCCCUUGACUUUGGGAUAACUUCAGGAAACUGGGGCUAAUACCGGAUAGGAGCUCCUGCUGCAUGGUGGGGGUUGGAAAGUUUCGGCGGUUGGGGAUGGACUCGCGGCUUAUCAGCUUGUUGGUGGGGUAGUGGCUUACCAAGGCUUUGACGGGUAGCCGGCCUGAGAGGGUGACCGGCCACAUUGGGACUGAGAUACGGCCCAGACUCCUACGGGAGGCAGCAGUGGGGAAUAUUGCACAAUGGGCGGAAGCCUGAUGCAGCAACGCCGCGUGCGGGAUGACGGCCUUCGGGUUGUAAACCGCUUUCGCCUGUGACGAGGCGUGAGUGACGGUAAUGGGUAAAGAAGCACCGGCUAACUACGUG